ACUCUCUUAGUUUAUAAAAACAUUAAAUUGCAAAUUUAAUUUAUAAAUCUUUAAUGAUGGUG
Molecule: transfer RNA, 62 nt
Filed under: Cheliceroides longipalpis
Lineage: Eukaryota; Metazoa; Arthropoda; Arachnida; Araneae; Salticidae
Description: tRNA-Cys
Source: RNAcentral